This 72-nucleotide transfer RNA is filed under the name Bos taurus (domestic cattle). It matches the Rfam family "tRNA". From Rfam's summary of the family: Transfer RNA (tRNA) molecules are approximately 80 nucleotides in length. The record is from Rfam by way of RNAcentral. RNAcentral also lists the same sequence under 2 other names. Lineage: Eukaryota; Metazoa; Chordata; Mammalia; Artiodactyla; Bovidae.
UCCUUGGUAGCUCAGAUGGUAAAGCAUCUGCCUACAAUGCAGGAGACCCAGGUUUGAUCCCUGGAUCGGGAA